Molecule: ribosomal RNA, 253 nt
Filed under: uncultured bacterium
Lineage: Bacteria
Description: partial 16S ribosomal RNA
Rfam family: Bacterial small subunit ribosomal RNA
Source: RNAcentral
GACAGAGGGUGCAAACGUUGUUCGGAAUUACUGGGCGUAAAGCGCGUGUAGGCUGCUCUGUAGGUCGGAUGUGAAAGCCCUGGGCUCAACCUAGGAAGUGCAUUCGAAACCACAAAGCUUGAGUCCUGGAGAGGAAGGCGGAAUUCUCGGUGUAGAGGUGAAAUUCGUAGAUAUCGAGAGGAACACCGGUGGCGAAGGCGGCCUUCUGGACAGUGACUGACGCUGAGACGCGAAAGCGUGGGGAGCAAACAGG